CCUACGGGGGGCUGCAGUAACGAAUCUUCCGCAAUGCACGCAAGUGUGACGGAGCGACGCCGCGUGUGGGACGAAGUCCUUCGGGAUGUAAACCACUGUCAGGGGCUACCGGAGCCCCAGAGGAAGGCACGGCUAACUCUGUGCCAGCAGCCGCGGUAAGACAGAGGUGCCGAGCGUUAGGCGGAAUCACUGGGCUUAAAGCGUGUGUAGGCGGACCCGUAAGUACCUUGUGAAAUCCCACGGCUCAACCGUGGAACUGCUGGGUAUACUGCGGGUCUUGAGCAACCUAGGGGCAGACGGAACAAGUGGUGGAGCGGUGAAAUGCGUAGAUAUCACUUGGAACGCCGACGGUGAAAACAGUCUGCUGGGGGUUCUGACGCUGAGACACGAAAGCCAGGGGAGCGAACGGGAUUAGAUACCCUUGUAGUC
RNAcentral lists this ribosomal RNA (429 nucleotides) under uncultured bacterium. Its description in RNAcentral is "partial 16S ribosomal RNA". It matches the Rfam family "Bacterial small subunit ribosomal RNA", at positions 338 to 795 of the family's 1533-position model. The record is from RNAcentral.